This 773-nucleotide long non-coding RNA is filed under the name Mytilus galloprovincialis (Mediterranean mussel). Lineage: Eukaryota; Metazoa; Mollusca; Bivalvia; Mytilida; Mytilidae. The record is from RNAcentral.
GGGUUUUGUUUAUUGUUGAAGGCAGUAACAUAAAUGAUUAUAUAGUAUGAGUUUUGUCCAUUGUUGAAGGCAGUAGUGUAGUUGAUUAUACAGUAUGGGUUUUGUUCAUUGUUCAAUGCAGUAAUGUAGCUGACUAUACAGUAUGGGUCUUGUUCAUUGUUGAAGGCGGUAAUGUAGCUGACUAUACAGUAUAGGGUUUUUUCAUUGUUGAAGGCAAUAAUUUCACUGAUUAUACAGUAUGGAUUUUGUCCAUUGUUGAAGGUAAAUGUAGUAAUGAAACUGAUUAUACAGUAUGGGUUUUGUUCAUUGUUGAAGGCAGGAAUGUAACUGAUUAUACAUUAAGGGUUUUGUUCAUUGUUGAAGGCAGUAAUGCAGAUGGAGUAUUGUUUUAUCAAGAAAGAAGAAGGGAAAAUUACAGAGACUAUGAAGACAGUAAGGUUUGUAGUUCUAAGAGUUAAUUCAGAAAGGUUUCUAAAAAAUAUCCAUUUAGGAAAUCGAUAUUAAGUAAUCAAAUAUAAUGAAAUUAAGGUAAAAUGACAAAUAUACCGACCUCCGAGGUAAACUCAAAUCACAAAGUCUUUUUUUCAGAUGACAAAAGCGCAAACACAUUAAACGAAUGAACACAUAACUUGGUGCAGGAAUUUUGUGUAAAAAAUUGUGGAUUAAACCUUUUUAAAUAGCUAACUAAACCUCUCAAUUGUCAGACAUAAACUUUCAUUUUUUUACAACAAUAUGUGAACAAACAAACAGACAUACUAGGAACAAAUGUUAAA